Molecule: long non-coding RNA, 439 nt
Organism: Notolabrus celidotus (New Zealand spotty)
Lineage: Eukaryota; Metazoa; Chordata; Actinopteri; Labriformes; Labridae
Exons: 3
Source: RefSeq, a predicted model, not a curated record
GUCGUUGUGGUGUGUGCGGAGUUCUCCCGGUCGGUGCGUUGUCGUAAAUCCAGCGCUCUCUCUAUCUCACGAGCAUGAGCUCUGGUCACAGGUCACAGCCAUGAGUUCCGGUCACAGGUCACAGCCAUGAGCUCCAUUGGCCAUCUCACAUCACUACUGCGUCGCAUGCGGACCCGUCAACUACGUUGGAGGAUAUGGCUCCAAGUCGUCACAUGCGUCGCCUCCAGAAACUUAAAGCACAUCAUGAUGUGUGUGAGAAACACUACGAGAAGACGAACACAAAGGAGAUAAAGGAGCAGAGGGAGAGCACCUUGGUUUUACAUGGUGGUCUGGAUACAACGAGAGUAUACGAGUGCUCCAGUGACAGUGACAGCACCAUUAUCCUUGACCACACUACAGCUAAAAUUGACGUCGACACAAGUGUACCAGAGCUCAGAAG